AAUUUCUUCUUAUACAUACUUAUAUCAUUUAUUUUUCUAAUCUAUAUUUUUUGUCUUAUUUAUGGUACUACAAAGUAAAUAGAAGCCUAUUUUGUAAAAAGGUAGUAUUUGCAUUUUUUAGUUUUACUAUCUUUUUGACUAUUAUCUAUAUUUUUAAGAUAAUUUUUUAUAAUAUGUUUAAAAUAAGAUCUUCUAUAAUAUAAUUUUUUCUUCUUUCUUUCAUUAUAUUUGGAAGACAACACCAUCAAUUAACAACAUUUCAAAUGUAAAUUAUCAAUACUUACUUAAAAUUAUUGUGUUGAAAAAAAAGAUGGCAAUCCUCCAUCUAAAGCUGAGUGUUAAGUUAUUCUAAUGAAGAAAUAGUGCAUUCAUUUUGGAUCUAGCAAAUAAGCAAAUUGAAUCAAUAUAAUAACCUAUUAAGGAUUCUAUGUACAAUAAUGGCAUUGCUAUAUGAAUGACCAAUGUAAAUUAGCUUGCAGUAAAUAUCAUAUAUUUUAGUCAUGAACGUCAUGACAUCCAUAUUAUCUAACAUGUAUAAGAUCUUCCAUUUU
Molecule: long non-coding RNA, 551 nt
Filed under: Physcomitrium patens
Lineage: Eukaryota; Viridiplantae; Streptophyta; Bryopsida; Funariales; Funariaceae
Description: long non-coding RNA (PPAT_LNC009129)
Source: RNAcentral